Molecule: non-coding RNA, 73 nt
Organism: Podarcis lilfordi (Lilford's wall lizard)
Lineage: Eukaryota; Metazoa; Chordata; Lepidosauria; Squamata; Lacertidae
Source: the annotation of a GenBank genome assembly
UCCCAGAGAGCUCAGCCAGUAGAACAUGAGACUCAUAAUCUCAGGGCUGUGGGUCUGAGCUCCACAUUGGGCA